Molecule: long non-coding RNA, 676 nt
Organism: Calypte anna (Anna's hummingbird)
Lineage: Eukaryota; Metazoa; Chordata; Aves; Apodiformes; Trochilidae
Exons: 4
Source: RefSeq, a predicted model, not a curated record
GCCUCCCCGCCCGGCUGAGGAACGGCGUCGGGGGGGGGGGGGGAGGUCCCCGGAGCGUCCCUGCCCCUCGCAGCCGAGGCGGGAGGAGGUUCGGCAGCCUGGGCUCCAGCUGCUUGAACUUGCUCCAGAGACUGCUGAAGGCCAGAGGAGGGACGGGGUAGCCUCUCUGCUGCAGGGACUCCACCCAAAGAGGCAGGACUGCAGCCAUGCUCCUCAUACCUUGCAAAGUACCAGGUGAAGCAGCACACCUUCCCUGCAUCCAUCUCCAGUGUCCCUGUGGCAGCUCCCAGUGUCACCAUCAUCCUGGCAUGGCUGGCCCUCAAAAGGAACUUGGUAUCCCUGAGCUGCAGUAAGAGCUAUUUCUAAGGCCUGGGACCUCAGGGCAGCAGCUCUGCCAGCCUUCUGCUCAAACCAAGGACAGCUUUGGAGCCUCCUUCCCUCUUGGCUUCAGCACAUCUGGAAUUCUCCUCUCAGGGUUGUUACUCAGGCUACACCUAUGAAAAGGAUUGCCUGGUUCUGCAGAAAACACACACAGCAACAGGUUUUGUCACACCAUCCCAAGAGACCAGAUCUGUGUGAAGAUUUUAAAGAGUUGCUUUGCCAGAGUGAAGGAGGCAAAUAAAUAUUCCUCAUUACUGCAGCUACAAAGAAACAUGCAUGGAGCUGGAAAAAUCCU